This 71-nucleotide transfer RNA is filed under the name Paralichthys lethostigma (southern flounder). RNAcentral's name for it is "tRNA-Asp". It matches the Rfam family "tRNA". Rfam says of the family: Transfer RNA (tRNA) molecules are approximately 80 nucleotides in length. Their secondary structure includes four short double-helical elements and three loops (D, anti-codon, and T loops). The record is from RNAcentral. RNAcentral also lists the same sequence under 1 other name. Lineage: Eukaryota; Metazoa; Chordata; Actinopteri; Pleuronectiformes; Paralichthyidae.
AAGAUACUAGUAAAGCUCCAUUACACUGUCUUGUCAAGACAGAAUCGUGGGUUAAAGCCCCGCGUAUCUUG